GUAUUGGCCUACCGUGGCGAUGACGGGUAACGGGGAAUUAGGGUUCGAUUCCGGAGAGGGAGCCUGAGAAACGGCUACCACAUCUAAGGAAGGCAGCAGGCGCGCAAAUUACCCAAUCCUAAUACAGGGAGGUAGUGACAAGAAAUAACAAUACAGGACUUUUUGGUUUUGUAAUUGGAAUGAGUUAAGUAUAAACCCCUUUACAAGUAUCAAUUGGAGGGCAAGUCUGGUGCCAGCAGCCGCGGUAAUUCCAGCUCCAAUAGCGUAUAUUAAAGUUGUUGCAGUUAAAAAGCUCGUAGUUGGAUUUCUGUUAAUAAUUUAUAUAAAAUAUUUUGAAUAUUUAUAUAACAUUAACAUAAUUCAUAUUACUAUAUUUUUUAGUAUAUGAAAUUUUACUUUGAGAAAAUUAGAGUGCUUAAAGCAGGCAUAUGCCUUGAAUACUCCAGCAUGGAAUAAUAUUAAAGAUUUUUAUCUUUUUUAUUGGUUCUAAGAUAAGAAUAAUGAUUAAUAGGGACAGUUGGGGGCAUUUGUAUUUAA
RNAcentral lists this ribosomal RNA (537 nucleotides) under Cryptosporidium parvum. Its description in RNAcentral is "SSU rRNA". It matches the Rfam family "Eukaryotic small subunit ribosomal RNA", at positions 333 to 901 of the family's 1831-position model. The record is from RNAcentral. Lineage: Eukaryota; Apicomplexa; Conoidasida; Eucoccidiorida; Cryptosporidiidae.